AUGGGCGAGUACGCGGGUGCCACACGCUCCUCGCCUUCUGCUGCCUGCAACUGGUGGCAGCGCUGGAGCAGCAGAUCUUUGACUUCCAGGGCCGCCUACCAGUGAGCUCCCACCCUAGCCAAUUUCCUGCGCCUCGUGGCGCUCACCCUGGGCAUCGUGGGCACCGCAGUGUGGCUGACGCUCCGGGCUGGCCUGAGUGCGUUUAUCACCUGCUUCUACCCGAAGGCUGGACCCAAUAUCCCCAGACCGCGACUUCCCCACAGCGUCCAAAUGCCCCUGUACCGAUCCAGGGAUGGAGAAUCGCCGGGCAGCGGGCGACUCCGGUUCUGAGCUUCCCCUGGCCAUGGGGGGCUGCCGUGCAGUCUUGUCCCUGGCUGCCUGCUGCACUGUCCCUGCAAAGAAGCCCUCAGCAGCGCCCGCAGAUCCUCCUGGCGCUGCUCCGCUUCCUGUUCGCCAGCUAUGGGAGCAAAGUCUUCCUGAAGGAGGAGGCAGCUUUGACUUCAUCAGCGGCUUCCACUCCUAGGGAUGCCAGGCGCCCCAGAAGACGUCACGUUGACACCAGCAGCCUCUAUGCGCUUCGGG
RNAcentral lists this long non-coding RNA (582 nucleotides) under Homo sapiens (human). RNAcentral describes it as "non-protein coding lnc-PPIAL4F-5:1". The record is from RNAcentral. Lineage: Eukaryota; Metazoa; Chordata; Mammalia; Primates; Hominidae.